Molecule: ribosomal RNA, 257 nt
Filed under: uncultured bacterium
Lineage: Bacteria
Description: partial 16S ribosomal RNA
Rfam family: Bacterial small subunit ribosomal RNA
Source: RNAcentral
UACGGAGGGUGCAAGCGUUAUCCGGAUUUACUGGGUUUAAAGGGUGUGUAGGCGGGUCUUUAAGUCAGUGGUGAAAUCUCCGAGCUUAACUUGGAAACUGCCAUUGAUACUAUUGAUCUUGAAUUUUGUUGAGGUAGGCGGAAUAAGUCAUGUAGCGGUGAAAUGCAUAGAUAUGACUUAGAACACCAAUUGCGAAGGCAGCUUGCUAAACAAAUAUUGACGCUGAGGCACGAAAAGCGUGGGGGAGUCAAACAGGA